UAUAAAGAUAACUUAUCUCUACUUCAUGUGAAUCCUUUGUUUGUAUUUUUGUGACAUUUAUAUGACUUGUAUUUGUAUAACAUGUAUUGUAUUAUUAUGACUUAUUCUACAUCCUACUGUCAUCUGACUAACUUAUGGAUCCAUGGAAUGUAAUAAAGAUGUAUGUAUGUAUAUAACGUCAGUCAGUGAACUUCCACCAGGCUACACGGCGAAACAACCCAGAAGACUGUCAUUUGCUAUAAAAACUACGAAAAAAUAGUUGGUGUUGAACAAUGGUAUCAGCCAUUAGCGAAUAUAAGAAAUUAAAGAGUAUGAAUUUGGUAACAGUCCAGUGGCAGAUUAUCCAUAUCACAUUUCAUUAAAAUCCCUUCACACAUUUUCUACUUAUUAAAUGCGUACAUGCAAAUUUUGGGAGUGGGUUGUGUUAAUUUGGGUCAAGUAAAGUUAAGUUAGGUUAGGUUUGUAAUGUGCAGAGGAUCGCGUCGUAAUGGCGUAAAAAUUGCCCCACUUGUAUUGUAUUCGUGUUUUCUGGAAUUACAUAAUGAAUUGUAUGAGUAAAUACGCCAUAUAUAAUUAUUUUGAAAUGAAAUUGUGUAAAGUAUGACAGAAUAACAGACAAAAUAUUAAAUGGCAUUUGCAAAGGAAUCUCUUGUGGUGAUGGAUACAUAUUCUCACUUGAAUCAUUUAUUGAAAAAUAGAUAGAAUUCUCUUCCAUUAAAAAAUCUAAAUAGGAGUCUCCUGAUAGUUGAAGCAAAGUCCUAAAAUGAAAUUGCCUAUUAUUCCUGCCAAAAUAUUACGAAACAGUGCAUGUUUAUGACUUUUCACUCACUACUCAAACAUUUGUGUGGUCUUCAAAGCUCAAAAGUAGACUUUCCCUUAAUGCUAAACAUUUACUUAUGUCAGUUUUUUUGACACUGAUGGAAAUAAGUACCAACACUUUCUCCCACAAGGGCAAUAACAGAUGUUCUGCAGUGACUAGACUUACCAGGUUCAAAACAGGAUGUUGGAGGUACUUGCAAUAAUGGCAGAUAUAUCCCAGUGGAAUCACUCUCCUGGAACAGAAUUGCAGAGACAGGUGAUGGCUAAUCAUGAAGAUCUUCUUUCACAAGCAACAUGGGUUGAAAAAUUUGAUGUACUACUUGCUGUUAUGCAGACAGAUGUCCAGGUAAUAAAUUAAUUUAGAAAACCUAUUCAAUGAGUGGUCCUACAUUCUCCAUCACAUCAGUUCUAUUACAGAAAUGUCAGUCCAUAUUGUGUAUUAUUAACAAAGCACAAGAGUAGAUGUGGACUCAGCAGUAAUUGCUUGUGGUUGUAGGAAGGAAAGAGGGUUCUACACCUGCUGUUGAUUUGUUCCUUACCUAAGAAUAUUAUGUAGUAUGCAAUAUUCACCAUUUAUUAAUAAAUUAAAAGUCAUUAUAAAUAAAUUAAUUACAGAUGGCAGUAUGUAUUAACUUAUGUACUAUAUCCUGCAUAAGCUACAGCAGAUGUAGUAAGUGUUUGCAUUUUCAUAAAUCUGCUAGUAACAAAAUCCUCCUUCACGUCUGUGAAAGAUCUCGUCUCAUUUUGUUCCUUGCCGAUAAUAGAUACUACAUAAUAUUAAUUUUUUGCAGCAUUUGCAUGGAACGUAUCAUAGUAAGAUUCCUGUAUGUGUACGUGUAUUAAACUAUAAUACAUGCAGUAAAUAGAAUGUAUUUUAA
Molecule: non-coding RNA, 1697 nt
Organism: Zootermopsis nevadensis
Lineage: Eukaryota; Metazoa; Arthropoda; Insecta; Blattodea; Termopsidae
Source: RefSeq, a predicted model, not a curated record